This is a long non-coding RNA of Sardina pilchardus (European sardine), 1215 nucleotides long. RefSeq lists it as uncharacterized. The record is from RefSeq and is a predicted model, not a curated record. Lineage: Eukaryota; Metazoa; Chordata; Actinopteri; Clupeiformes; Clupeidae. The transcript has 6 exons.
AAUUACUGUACUCAAACAUUUACUGUAAAAUCACAGUAGCUCUAUCACAUUACAGCACCUUGUUGUGAAAUUUGAAUUGCACUUGAACCGCACAGCAUUGUGGGGCGAUUUCUAACGUUCACCCCUCCCACCCGCACCUGCCACCCUCAACUGAAUUUUCAACUCAGCCGUCCACCAGUGACUUCAAUUAUCACUUUUCUGCAUGUGUAAGCUGUACAAACUCUGCCAUCAUAUCCAAGACAUUGCAUUGUGAGGACUGGUGCCCUGGGAACACUGAGCGCAUUCUCGAAAAUUCCAAAUUUGUGCCACUUCCAUACGAAGACAGCCCAGAAUAAUUGGGCUCCAUCAACCAUCCCGGGUAAAGUCGGUCUGUCCUGAUUGCACUACUUGCUAAUUGAUGACGUCUAGAAGCCAUAGCUGCUUCCCUCUGCCCUCACAAAUAAACUGAUACCAGGAAUUAACAUACAGUAGAUGGUGAUGGUGGUGGUGGCAAGGGUGCCUUCACAAGGUGCCAUGUCACAAUCUCAGUGUGGAGCCAAAGGCUGCUAUUGCAAGUCAGAUGGGGGACGAUCGAUGUAAGGCAUCAGAAAGGUGGUGUACAUACAAAGGCUGGAGCUGCUGGAGACAGUGUUGCACUUAGAUACUUGAUUUACUGCCGAUGGUACCAUCAGAGCACCACCCUACCCCUGCAGGACCAGAAGAGGACGGACAGGGGGCCAAAAUUUUUUAACACUCUGACCAUGGACUAUUUAAACCAUUGAGGUAACGCAGACGUCUGAUCCCACUUGGCUAAAACAGAAGACUGAGGAGGAGUUUCUUUCCUCAUGCCAUUCGCAUCCUGAGCACACAUACUGCAUUACAUGGACUUGCCAUACUGCACUUACACACUGCACUAUUUACCCCCUGACUCAUUCCGUGUCAAAUCAGACAAGGUUAUGCUGCACCGUCUCAGGCCUGUACAAUAUUUUUUUGUUCAAUCCUAUGUCUUCAUAUGAUAAUGUUUGUAUGGCCUGCUCAAUGAUUUUCAUUGAAAAGUGUUCAUUAAAAGUUCAAAUGGUAUUUUCUUUGUUGUUGCUUUUAUUGACCAGAUCCAAAACAUGUUGGUAUAGGUCAGGUAAAUCACAAAUCAAAUGUUCAAAUGUACAAUAUCUUUCACUGUAAAUUCACAGCAAAUUGCUGGCUACUGAGUUGCAUUACUUUUACAGUAAAAAUGAA